ACUCCUACGGGAGGCAGCAGUGGGGAAUAUUGCACAAUGGGGGAAACCCUGAUGCAGCCAUGCCGCGUGUAUGAAGAAGGCCUUCGGGUUGUAAAGUACUUUCAGUCGUGAGGAAGGGUGUGUAGUUAAUAGCUGCAUGCCUUGACGUUAGCGACAGAAGAAGCACCGGCUAACUCC
This 177-nucleotide ribosomal RNA is filed under the name uncultured Gammaproteobacteria bacterium. Its description in RNAcentral is "partial 16S ribosomal RNA". It matches the Rfam family "Bacterial small subunit ribosomal RNA", at positions 335 to 504 of the family's 1533-position model. Lineage: Bacteria; Pseudomonadati; Pseudomonadota; Gammaproteobacteria. The record is from RNAcentral.